This 433-nucleotide ribosomal RNA is filed under the name uncultured bacterium. Its description in RNAcentral is "partial 16S ribosomal RNA". It matches the Rfam family "Bacterial small subunit ribosomal RNA", at positions 29 to 507 of the family's 1533-position model. The record is from RNAcentral.
AGCGAACGCUGGCGGCAGGCUUAACACAUGCAAGUCGAGCGGGCCCUUCGGGGUCAGCGGCAGACGGGUGAGUAACACGUGGGAACGUACCCUUUGGUUCGGAAUAACGCUGGGAAACUAGCGCUAAUACCGGAUACGCCCUUUUGGGGAAAGGCUUGCUGCCGAAGGAUCGGCCCGCGUCUGAUUAGCUAGUUGGGGGGGUAAUGGCCUACCAAGGCGACGAUCAGUAGCUGGUCUGAGAGGAUGAUCAGCCACACUGGGACUGAGACACGGCCCAGACUCCUACGGGAGGCAGCAGUGGGGAAUAUUGGACAAUGGGCGCAAGCCUGAUCCAGCCAUGCCGCGUGAGUGAUGAAGGCCUUAGGGUUGUAAAGCUCUUUUGUCCGGGACGAUAAUGACGGUACCGGAAGAAUAAGCCCCGGCUAACUUCGUG